AAAUUGAAGAGUUUGAUCAUGGCUCAGAUUGAACGCUGGCGGCAGGCCUAACACAUGCAAGUCGAACGGUAACAGGAAGAAGCUUGCUUCUUUGCUGACGAGUGGCGGACGGGUGAGUAAUGUCUGGGAAACUGCCUGAUGGAGGGGGAUAACUACUGGAAACGGUAGCUAAUACCGCAUAACGUCGCAAGACCAAAGAGGGGGACCUUCGGGCCUCUUGCCAUCGGAUGUGCCCAGAUGGGAUUAGCUGUGGUGGGGUAACGGCUCACCUAGGCGACGAUCCCUAGCUGGUCUGAGAGGAUGACCAGCCACACUGGAACUGAGACACGGUCCAGACUCCUACGGGAGGCAGCAGUGGGGAAUAUUGCACAAUGGGCGCAAGCCUGAUGCAGCCAUGCCGCGUGUAUGAAGAAGGCCUUCGGGUUGUAAAGUACUUUCAGCGGGGAGGAAGGGAGUAAAGUUAAUACCUUUGCUCAUUGACGUUACCCGCAGAAGAAGCACCGGCUAACUCCGUGCCAGCAGCCGCGGUAAUACGGAGGGUGCAAGCGUUAAUCGGAAUUACUGGGCGUAAAGCGCACGCAGGCGGUUUGUUAAGUCAGAUGUGAAAUCCCCGGGCUCAACCUGGGAACUGCAUCUGAUACUGGCAAGCUUGAGUCUCGUAGAGGGGGGUAGAAUUCCAGGUGUAGCGGUGAAAUGCGUAGAGAUCUGGAGGAAUACCGGUGGCGAAGGCGGCCCCCUGGACGAAGACUGACGCUCAGGUGCGAAAGCGUGGGGAGCAAACAGGAUUAGAUACCCUGGUAGUCCACGCCGUAAACGAUGUCGACUUGGAGGUUGUGCCCUUGAGGCGUGGCUUCCGGAGCUAACGCGUUAAGUCGACCGCCUGGGGAGUACGGCCGCAAGGUUAAAACUCAAAUGAAUUGACGGGGGCCCGCACAAGCGGUGGAGCAUGUGGUUUAAUUCGAUGCAACGCGAAGAACCUUACCUGGUCUUGACAUCCACGGAAGUUUUCAGAGAUGAGAAUGUGCCUUCGGGAACCGUGAGACAGGUGCUGCAUGGCUGUCGUCAGCUCGUGUUGUGAAAUGUUGGGUUAAGUCCCGCAACGAGCGCAACCCUUAUCCUUUGUUGCCAGCGGUCCGGCCGGGAACUCAAAGGAGACUGCCAGUGAUAAACUGGAGGAAGGUGGGGAUGACGUCAAGUCAUCAUGGCCCUUACGACCAGGGCUACACACGUGCUACAAUGGCGCAUACAAAGAGAAGCGACCUCGCGAGAGCAAGCGGACCUCAUAAAGUGCGUCGUAGUCCGGAUUGGAGUCUGCAACUCGACUCCAUGAAGUCGGAAUCGCUAGUAAUCGUGGAUCAGAAUGCCACGGUGAAUACGUUCCCGGGCCUUGUACACACCGCCCGUCACACCAUGGGAGUGGGUUGCAAAAGAAGUAGGUAGCUUAACCUUCGGGAGGGCGCUUACCACUUUGUGAUUCAUGACUGGGGUGAAGUCGUAACAAGGUAACCGUAGGGGAACCUGCGGUUGGAUCACCUCCUUA
Molecule: ribosomal RNA, 1540 nt
Filed under: Escherichia coli KO11FL
Lineage: Bacteria; Pseudomonadati; Pseudomonadota; Gammaproteobacteria; Enterobacterales; Enterobacteriaceae
Description: 16S ribosomal RNA
Rfam family: Bacterial small subunit ribosomal RNA
Source: RNAcentral